GACGAACGCUGGCGGCGUGCUUAACACAUGCAAGUCGAACGGAAAGGCCUGCUUUCCCUUGUGGAUUGCGGGUGCUCGAGUGGCGAACGGGUGAGUAACACGUGAGUGAUCUGCCCCCAACUUGGGUAUAAGCCUGGGAAACUGGGUCUAAUUCCCGAUAGGACUGCAGGGUGGUGCCUGUGGUGGAAAACGAUUUUCUAGUGGUUGGGGAUGAGCUCGCGGCCUAUCAGCUUGUUGGUGGGGUAAUGGCCUACCAAGGCGGCGACGGGUAGCCGGCCUGAGAGGGUGGACGGCCACAGUGAGACUGGGAUACGGCCCAGACGCCUACGGGAAGCAGCAGUGGGGAAUAUUGCACAAUGGGCGGAAGCCUGAUGCAGCGACGCCGCGUGGGGGAUGACGGCCUUCGGGUUGUAAACUCCUUUCGACCGCGAGGAAGCCACCUGGUUGGAAGGGUGGUGACGGUAGUGGUAGAAGAAGCACCGGCUAACUACGUG
Molecule: ribosomal RNA, 494 nt
Filed under: uncultured bacterium
Lineage: Bacteria
Description: partial 16S ribosomal RNA
Rfam family: Bacterial small subunit ribosomal RNA
Source: RNAcentral